This 447-nucleotide ribosomal RNA is filed under the name uncultured bacterium. RNAcentral's name for it is "bacterial SSU rRNA". It matches the Rfam family "Bacterial small subunit ribosomal RNA", at positions 29 to 521 of the family's 1533-position model. The record is from RNAcentral.
AACGAACGCUGGCGGCAUGCCUAACACAUGCAAGUCGAACGAAGCCUUCGGGCUUAGUGGCGCACGGGUGCGUAACGCGUGGGAAUCUGCCCUUGGGUUCGGAAUAACAGUUAGAAAUGACUGCUAAUACCGAAUGAUGUCUUCGGACCAAAGAUUUAUCGCCCAAGGAUGAGCCCGCGUCGGAUUAGCUAGUUGGUGAGGUAAAGGCUCACCAAGGCGACGAUCCGUAGCUGGUCUGAGAGGAUGAUCAGCCACACUGGGACUGAGACACGGCCCAGACUCCUACGGGAGGCAGCAGUGGGGAAUAUUGGACAAUGGGCGAAAGCCUGAUCCAGCAAUGCCGCGUGAGUGAUGAAGGCCCUAGGGUUGUAAAGCUCUUUUACCAGGGAUGAUAAUGACAGUACCUGGAGAAUAAGCUCCGGCUAACUCCGUGCCAGCAGCCGCGGU